Long non-coding RNA from Oncorhynchus kisutch (coho salmon), 1339 nucleotides. RefSeq lists it as uncharacterized. The transcript is spliced from 2 exons. The record is from RefSeq and is a predicted model, not a curated record. Lineage: Eukaryota; Metazoa; Chordata; Actinopteri; Salmoniformes; Salmonidae.
AAGGGUCUGAAUACUUAUGUAAUGUUUUUUAUUUUUUUUAUAUGCACUGUAUGUCAAUCUAGAACAGGAUUAUCUAUUUUGGAUGCAAUUUGAAUGGAGUUGGAGUGUGCUUCGGUGCACUGAUUUAAAUCAACAGUAUUCGAGUGAUAGUCUGCAAUAAUAAAUAAAAAUGUUUCAAUUAAAAAAUCAAGGUGACCCCAGAAAGCCAGAUAAAUUAGACACGAAUUUGGUCUUUAUAUUACUGUAGCAUAGGAUAUGCUGCAGCAGAUGUAGGUGUACCUGGGUAAUGUGUGUGUGGGUCGGGGGGGACGGGGGGGGGGGGACUUCUUGCCUUACUGUAUGUGAGGAUUGGUCCCCAAGGCAACUAAGGAGAAUUGGGGGAAGAUAGAAACCGGUGGUAACAACAAUGGAUAUUUGUUGUUUAUGUGCUGUGGACGUGUAAUGCCUCUGACUCACCAGCCGUCGUGUCCGUCUGUGAGGGUGAAUGGAGCCGUCCUCCUCCAUGCAACACACAAACUGCUGGAACAACAAAUGCUGUGCUGCGGCCUCCUGGCAUGUUAGCUCUCCCACUGAGCUUUGGGUCAGAGGGUUUUUAUCUGUUAUUUCUACUCUUCACCGCUCUGCUCCCGUCUCACUUCCUGUUCCUCCAGGGGUGCAACAGAGUUGUUUGUGGCUGAGGCACAGAGAAUUAAAGGAGUGGGUCUCAGGACACAGACCAUAGGGAGUCAAACCAUGACUAUCAAGGAUAAUUGGUCACUUUCCUGUGCUCUGAUUUUCAUGUCCUCCUUGGGAAGAACAAGUAAGAUGUACCAUUAAAUCAUUUGUGUGAUUCACAGGUAUGACCGAGGGGCAAGAGCUUGUUUCCUCUGGUGUAAUUGGAAUACUUCAGUGUUCUUUAAAUUCUCAAACGGAUAGAGAUGCUGGCUGUGGCCAUUAAUGUGCACAGAACAGCCACAGUAACCUUUCCCCUCUAUCUGUCUCUAGGUCCCUGUCUCAGCCUACAAGGGUUCUUUGGAUAAAGGCUAUCUAUGGCCUUAAUUUGGAUGCCGGUGGGCGGAGUUGGGAGGGUCGUCAGCUACAUGGGAAACACCUCGGCCCGGUGUGUCCAGGAUAUAAUCACCACUUCCCCAUUCAUAGGGGAGACUCUCCAUGCAGACACCUUUCUAGAUUUUGUUGUGUUUCUUGGUGGCCUUUUGGUUGUUUGCUUUGGCACCUUUCAACACCCUGCAAUAUCGCAUUUAUACAUGAAAAACACUCACUGACACUACUGAUUACACACACCAUUGUAUAUUGUACUUACUUUACUUUAUUUAAUAAAUAUAUGUUUUGUUACUCCUUA